UUUCAGUGAUUGGACGACCAGAGCGUGACUCAUCUUUCACAUCAAUCGAGAGAUAUGGAAUAGUUCCCAACAAAAGUUGUUGAGAACUAACUCUACUCCGUAAGUUCAAUAACAUUUUCUUUUUUAGGAAAAAAUCCAUCAUGGAUACCCCAGACCCUCGGGAAAGAGCUUGAGGUUAUGUAGAACUCCUACCGGCUAAAACCUCCCUGGGUGGCGCUGCGAAGGGACUUACCUCGGGCCCCGGAGCCACGUAACUGCAAUCGGGGCCCCGAGUCCAGACGUCGUCAUUUAUCCAUGAGGGGUUGGGGGAGGAGGGAGACCGAACCGAAGCUCCUCCUCAACCAUCCUUCUGCUCUCCCUCCAUCCCUCAUGCCCCGUCUGUAGUGCUGGAAAAGGGGAGACCGACCGAGGUCGAUCUUCAACCGUCGUUCCCAGCCAGACGAGGCGCCGCCUCGAAUGUUGUGCGACGAGCUAGGCCACCGCCACCUUGUCGCUCCCUCGUUAGGAGGGCUGGAUGGGAUCCCGGGAGUCCCCGCCUGGAACCCCACCCUCCUCCACGGCGGUUACGCGGGGAAAAAGUCUCCUAGCCGCCGGGGUCUCUCGCUUGAUAGGCGAGGGGAUCGUACAAUCCCCUCUUCAGGCCCACUCUAAGGUGGGCUGAUAGAUAGGGGGGAAGUGGUUUUAUAUUGACAAGUGUCACCUUAUUCUCCCCCCCUUUGCUGUCAUCCAGCUCCCGUUAUGGGGGGCAAUUGGGCGGCCCCCUGUCUUGGAAUGUCAGAUGGUGGUGGUCUCAGCACCGGUGGUAGGGGAGGAACAUUUCUACUUCUGUUUCUUUCUCCAGGCCUGGCCGGUGCUCCCGGUGACAAAAACUGGCCGGUUUUGGGCCCUCCUCCUAGGUGGUGGUGGAGGUUGUGGUGGGGGACCCAUCAUCGCCCUCACCAUCCUAUCCUUAUUCGAGGAGUCUACGUCGUUGUCGCCGUCGUCCCCACUUCCCGGCCUGUGCCGCUGGGGAUGGGAGUGGCGGCACUGGUGACGCCCUCUCGGUCCUCUCUCCCUUCUUAUUUCGGCAUCUUCCUUCACUUUCGUUACUGAGGAGCAAAAGGCUGAGAAGGCGUCCCAUUUUUUUUCGCUCCCCAGAACACUUAGAAAAAUUCGAGCAAUUUCUUUUGGCUGCGACAGUCCCAAUUUUAUGCCAACAAUAGCAAAUUGUUGGCUUUAUUUUUUGAGAUAUGACGAAGCUACGUCCAAUGCAACAUUCUUCAUUCCAACCUCAUUUUUCUUCUUCUAAGUGUUCUUCAAGGACUCAAAAAUUCUGUGUUGAUUGUCAAGUCUAUCAAUGCUCGAAAUGUUUUCAGAUUUUUCAUAAGUAAGCUGCAUGAGUUUUCAUAAAUAAAUAUCUCUAAAUUCUCCAAAAAAGUAUAAAAAUAAUAAAAAAAUAUAAAAAAAAUAAAAAAAAAUAGAAAAAGACUCUCACAGAUGUCGACUUCCUUGUGGUAAGAGUCGAGCAACGGCGAUGUAAUUAUCGACGGCUAACAACAGAGAGAAACCUAAAGGCCAUCACACAUAAAAUUCCAUAAGAACAUAAGACGUAAGUGUAAAGAAAUCGACCAAUCUCAAUGUAAUAUUCAGCUCUUCGUAACCCCUCGACUUUUGUCCGUAAAACAUAAAACGUAACGUCGAAAAAUUCAGUAAGGAUGAAAUUUUUAUGGCUACGUCUUGUGGACAACCAAUCACAACUGAUCAGACUAUACACUUUAGUUUGACAUUUGAAGCGAAGCUAGUAAGGUUAGAUGUAUUUAAAUAGCAUUUGUCGCAGUGAGAUAAGUGAGGUGAAAUGAGUGAUCACAAUAAAUAUUGUAAUAUGUUUAAUAACUCGGAAAAUGAUGAACUGCUUAUUGAUACGGUAAGAGCAUACCCACAUCUUUAUAACCACCAAAAUCGUAAUUUUAAAGACCAUUUGAUGAAAGAAAAUUCGUGGAAAGAAAUAGCCUUAGCAGUAAACAGUUCAGUUUCGGAUUGUCAAAACGUUGGAUAAGACUCCGUGAAAGAUCGGUAAAGAAAAACGGUAAAGGGAGUUGGAUUCAAGGAGUGACAGUGCAGUCAACGAAGUGGCUUUAUAUAUUACGAAAAUAGGUCAUUUCUAAAUGACCAUAUCAAAAGAAGGAAGUCUUAUACGAAUGUUUCAAGUGUGGAGCGUAUAAAGACAAUAGAUGUCCCAGCUAAUAAGCCUGACACACACAUCUCACCAACGAGUUCUCUGUUAACAAAUAAAAAAGACAAUCAAAUCAAUCUUCCAAUGGACAGUGAAACUAUGGAAAAUACGGAAUCCUCAAUCUUCAAGAUCGCCUCACAACUCUAAUGCAGGAGAUGAAGUACCAUUGGAACCUUCUGUGCAACCGUGUACAAACUUCUCAACACGAUUUAAAAACAUUUCCUUGCCAGACACUGGCUCUGCUGCAUCAUCAAUGAAUUCACUCGGAAAUGAUCACUCAAGUUCAAGUACUUCACCCAAAUGUUGUCCAAAUACACCUAGUAUUCUUGAUGAAUCUGAAGAAUCUACAUUGUUUUUAACAAGAGAGUCAACACCUUCUACAGCAUUUAAAAGUUUGCAAGCUACGCCAAUGUCACGACAACCACCAUAUAAGAAAAAAGAUAACUCGGGCGCAUUGGAGAGUUCUCUAGUUUUACUUUGUCAAACUAUGCACCAACGUCUCUAGAAUAAUCGUAAUUCCGAAAUUACUGGUUCCUCGGAAGAAACUUUUGCAAGGUUAAUCGCGAAUCAAUUAGAAAAGUUACCAUCAUAUGAAAAAUAUGAACGCCAGCAAGCAAUUAUGCAAAUUUUGUAUGAACCUUAUAUAAUUCUUGAAGACGAAAAUGAUAGCAAAGUUACGAAACAUUUUUAUAUU
This is a long non-coding RNA of Harpegnathos saltator (Jerdon's jumping ant), 2906 nucleotides long. RefSeq lists it as uncharacterized. The record is from RefSeq and is a predicted model, not a curated record. The transcript is spliced from 3 exons. Lineage: Eukaryota; Metazoa; Arthropoda; Insecta; Hymenoptera; Formicidae.